Long non-coding RNA from Alosa sapidissima (American shad), 751 nucleotides. RefSeq lists it as uncharacterized. The record is from RefSeq and is a predicted model, not a curated record. NCBI's taxonomy places the organism in Eukaryota, Metazoa, Chordata, Actinopteri, Clupeiformes, Clupeidae. The transcript has 2 exons.
UGUCCUUGUUUGGCACUCAUUUAUUUACUUCCUGAAGAGGCUGGAGCAUGCUGGCCUUGACACCUCAGUCCUUGCUUUGUGUUAUGGAGCACAUCCUCACAUCAUGAUCUACUGCAGCGGUGGAUACAGAGGAAAAUUGGCAGGUUGUCAGCUGUUGUCAGGCUCAUCACCAAAGCAGAAAGACACAGUGAGACCAGACAUGCCAGGAAAGAGCAAGGCACAGGCCAGGAAGGAGCCAGGCAAAGCCCGGGAAUUUUUUUCCAGCUGUUCCCGCCAGCUAUAGAAGGACUGCUCCUGAGAAUAGAUGGGUGUCUACAUCGUUUUGCAAAAAGGGUCUUCUACACAUGAUGCUUGUCAAGCACUGCUCAUUGACUGGCCAGGGGUCCUCUGUAUUGUGACCACUGGUCAAAGGCGGCACAUGACUGUCUCAGAGUCCUCUACAUCAUUCCGGUGACAGGACUUUUGGCCUAGCCUGACAGGAUGGGUCUUGUGUUACUGUGACCAGACGGCUCAACAAUGCAUCAUUCUCAUCCAUGCCCUCAUCACCUUGAGACUGGACUACUGCAACAGCAUUUUCUAUAUGGUCUUGAAAAUUAUUGUCUUAUUAUUAUUACAGGUCUCUCUGCACCCGAACCAGCAGGUUCAGAGGAAGUUUCUUUCCUGCGGCUGUCACCCUACUGGACUCUAGCUCUGCAUCUCGGUGACAACCAAUCAACUAAGCCCCCAAUAAACUAAGCCCCCAAUACCCUAU